CCUACGGGAGGCAGCAGUGGGGAAUAUUGCACAAUGGGGGAAACCCUGAAGCAGCGACGCCGCGUGAAUGAAGAAGUAAUUCGUUAUGUAAAGCUCUAUUUGUAGGGAAGAAAAUGACGGUACCUGAGUAAUAAGCCCCGGCUAACUACGUGCCAGCAGCCGCGGUAAUACGGAGGGGGCAAGCGUUAUCCGGAUUUACUGGGUGUAAAGGGAGCGUAGACGGGAUUGCAAGUCUGGAGUGAAAGGCUGGGGCUCAACCGUCGAACUGCAGUGGAAACUGUGCGGCUUGAGUGCAGGGGAGGUAGGUGGAAUUCGUGGUGUAGCGGUGAAAUGCGUAGAUAUGAAGAGGAACACUGAUUGCGAAGGCGGCUUACUGGAGUGUAACUGACGUUGAGGCGCGAAGGUGUGGGGAGCGAACAGGAUUAGAUACCCGGGUAGUC
Molecule: ribosomal RNA, 440 nt
Filed under: uncultured bacterium
Lineage: Bacteria
Description: partial 16S ribosomal RNA
Rfam family: Bacterial small subunit ribosomal RNA
Source: RNAcentral